UUCCCUGAUUUUGGAGACAUCAGGUUUGCUGAGAUCAGAUCGAAGGGCACUGGAACUGUACGCUUUCCCGACAGAGGCAGAUGCUCGUAGAGCAGUUGAAAUGCUUGAUCGCCAACGUCUGGAUGGAAGAAUCCUGGAUGUUUGCCAGCUUUAAUGCUAGUCAGAGGGAGAUCACCGGGACUGUGUUGGGAAAGGGUCGCGACUCCACUUGGGAGUUGCAUCACCUUGCCACACAUCGAAAGGGAUGAGAGGGGCGUGUUUUAUACGAAGAAAGACAACUGACAAGCUGCAACCCAAGGUAAUGGCUGCUUACUUGGGGGCUAGUGUCAUCUCAGACCAGUAGCCCAUCUGUUUCUGGAGUUGACGUUCGUGAAGGAUUGGCUGUCGUGGAGGAUUGAAUUAUGCCUAGCUCGGACUAUUCACAAGCUUUUGGUUUGGAAGAAUGAAUUGAUGCUGUGAAGGAUUGAUGGAGUUGAUGACAAGGAUGUUUAUGGAAUUCUAACCAAGUGGGAGUUUUGUAUUUCCCCCAACAAGUGGCAAUAUGCAUAUUUUUUCCUUUUCCUUUUUUUUUUUUUUUUCCCCUUUUUCAUAUCUUCUUUUUUACCUACAUCACUGUUCCCAAGAUGUGGAGGUGGUUGCGUCUGUGCUGGAUCUUUUGAUAGUUACUUCAUGUAUUGGUACAGGUAUUUAGCUGUCCAAAGAUUGAAGAGAAAGAUUGUCGUUUAAGAUACAUGUUGUAAGUCAGUAAAUAGAUCAAAUAACUGUUUCUUGCUGUCAUUUCUGGAAUACAUAAGAGAGUUUAUUUUAUUUUACAUUACUUUCUCGUAUCUUAAAGUCAUAGCUCAUAUUGUUUGGUCCUUUCAUAGGAUGUGUUUUGCACUUUUGAAAUAUAUUUUAAGAUAUAAUUGUCGAAAGGAAAUUUUCUGGUGUCAUUGAAAGAUAAUGGAAUUAGUAUAACUGGAUCAUUGUACCUGUUCAUAGAUGAUGAUAUGAUGUAAUUAGCCAAUAAAUGGCAGUGGGCCUUCUUUGCUGUUGUUUUUUCUUGUUGUCCUCUUGACUGAUUUUUUUACCCCCCAGUAAUUGCUGUUGUUAUGUCUCUCUUGGUUUGAUCUCGUGUCAGCACAUAAUGUUCAGUGAAUAAAAUGGUGAGUCCAAACGUAAA
Molecule: long non-coding RNA, 1162 nt
Organism: Penaeus monodon (black tiger shrimp)
Lineage: Eukaryota; Metazoa; Arthropoda; Malacostraca; Decapoda; Penaeidae
Exons: 2
Source: RefSeq, a predicted model, not a curated record